AACCUAAGAAUAAAUCUGUUGGAUAAAUAUUUAUAAUUACAAAAAAUAUCGAUGAAAUUCCUUUUGGAUGGUCUCACAGGUAAUUCAAAAACAAGAUGGCGAUUAAAUUCAACUAUUACUCAAUUGAUCGUGUGAUUAAACUACCUUUAACACUCAAACAUUUGUUUGAGUAAAAAAACGAAGAAAAGCUAUAUUAAAACAACUAGAGUCAAAGACUGAAAAGUUGACAACAACCAAUUUAAUUUGGACAAAAACUAUCGUCGCGACCGACGGGGUUCUUAUUUCGAGGUUGGACUAUGAGUGCACAAUGAGGGUUAAGGAAAUGAAAUUCUUUUCAAAAUAGGUGUUUUUACUAAUACUAAGACUAAAAUUUGUUCAUAUAAUCCGCUAACCCCUAACCCUAUCAACGUGCCAUCACAAUCAACCAUUUUUCUACACUAACUUUAAGAAUCAGAAUAAAGACCAUGGAUUUUCCGCCAAAGGAGUAUCUGUAUUUCAUACGCGGAAAAAAUAGACUCACUGCAGAUACACACACCUACAUUUGAAAAAGAAAUUUUGCAGAUUGAUAACAGUUUUACAGCAGCUCUAGGAACUGUUAAAGAAUCGUGAGAAAAUAACCUAAGAAAAACAGACGAAAGAAACUACUGCAGUUCUAUUGUUUAUAUAUGAUUAAUAUUAAAUUUGUUGCCAUAUAUAAUAAAUCCUUCAAUUUCAUUUUAGUACA
This is a long non-coding RNA of Vanessa atalanta (red admiral), 724 nucleotides long. RefSeq lists it as uncharacterized. The record is from RefSeq and is a predicted model, not a curated record. The transcript has 2 exons. NCBI's taxonomy places the organism in Eukaryota, Metazoa, Arthropoda, Insecta, Lepidoptera, Nymphalidae.